Molecule: ribosomal RNA, 1523 nt
Filed under: metagenome
Description: bacterial SSU rRNA
Rfam family: Bacterial small subunit ribosomal RNA
Source: RNAcentral
AGAGUUUGAUCCUGGCUCAGGACGAACGCUGGCGGCGUGCCUAAUACAUGCAAGUUGUACGAGAACAUAUUCUUCGGAAUAUUAGUAAAGUGGCGAACGGGUGAGUAACACGUAAGUAACCUACCCUAGAGUUGGGGAUAACCCUGCUAACGUGGGGCUAAUACCGAAUAAUGCAGCGAGUCCACAUGGACAUGUUGUUAAAGGUGGGGCUCUUUUUAAGACCUACCGCUUUAGGAUGGACUUGCGGUCCAUUAGCUUGUUGGUGAGGUAACGGCUCACCAAGGCUGCGAUGGAUAGCCGGCCUGAGAGGGUGUACGGCCACACUGGGACUGAGAUACGGCCCAGACUCCUACGGGAGGCAGCAGUAAGGAAUAUUGCGCAAUGGCCUAACGGCUGACGCAGCAACGCCGCGUGACUGAUGAAGCUCUUCGGAGUGUAAAGGUCUGUUAGGAGGGAAGAAUACGAUCGCAGAGAAUAUGUGCGGUCUAUGACAUUACCUCCAGAGAAAGCUCCGGCUAACUCCGUGCCAGCAGCCGCGGUAAUACGGAGGGAGCAAGCGUUGUCCGGAAUCACUGGGCGUAAAGGGCAUGUAGGCGGAUCGUUAAGUCAGAAGUGAAAUCUACCCGCUUAACGGGUAACCUGCUUUUGAAACUGACGGUCUUGAGUUCUGGAGAGGUGAGCGGAAUUCAAGGUGUAGCGGUGAAAUGUGUAGAUAUCUGGAAGAACACCGGUGGCGAAGGCGGCUCACUGGCCAGCAACUGACGCUGAAAUGCGAAAGCGUGGGGAGCGAACAGGAUUAGAUACCCUGGUAGUCCACGCCCUAAACGAUGGAUACUAGGUGUUGGAGGAGUCGACCCCUUCAGUGCCGCAGCUAACGCAUUAAGUAUCCCGCCUGGGGAGUACGAUCGCAAGGUUGAAACUCAAAGGAAUUGACGGGGGCCCGCACAAGCGGUGGAGUAUGUGGUUUAAUUCGAUGCAACGCGAAGAACCUUACCGGGGUUUGAAAUGCAGUGGAAAGUUCCGGGAAACCGGGACCCCCUUCGGGCCGCUGUACAGGUGCUGCAUGGCUGUCGUCAGCUCGUGUCGUGAGAUGUUGGGUUAAGUCCCGCAACGAGCGCAACCCCUGUCCUUAGUUGCCAUCAGGUCAUGCUGGGAACUCUAAGGAGACUGCCCUGAUUAACGGGGAGGAAGGUGGGGAUGACGUCAAGUCCUCAUGGCCUUUAUAUCCCGGGCUACACACGUACUACAAUGGCCGGUACAACGGGCAGCAAUACCGUGAGGUGGAGCAAAUCCCUUAAAACCGGUCUCAGUUCAGAUUGAAGUCUGCAACUCGACUCCAUGAAGGCGGAAUCGCUAGUAAUCGCGGAUCAGCAUGCCGCGGUGAAUACGUUCCCGGGCCUUGUACACACCGCCCGUCACGCCAUGGAAGUCGGUAGUACCCGAAGUCGCUGGUCCAAUCCCGCUUGCGGGAAGGAAGGCGCCGAAGGUAAGAUCGAUGACUGGGGCGAAGUCGGAACAAGGUA